GACGAACGCUGGCGGCGUGCUUAACACAUGCAAGUCGAACGGAAAGGCCCUGCUUUUGUGGGGUGCUCGAGUGGCGAACGGGUGAGUAACACGUGAGUAACCUGCCCUUGACUUUGGGAUAACUUCAGGAAACUGGGGCUAAUACCGGAUAGGAGCUCCUGCUGCAUGGUGGGGGUUGGAAAGUUUCGGCGGUUGGGGAUGGACUCGCGGCUUAUCAGCUUGUUGGGGGGGUAGUGGCUUACCAAGGCUUUGACGGGUAGCCGGCCUGAGAGGGUGACCGGCCACAUGGGACUGGGGGACCGGCCCAGACUCCACCGGGGGGCAGGGGGGGGGAAUGUUGCAAAAGGGGGGGACGCUUGAGGCACAAACGCCGGGUGGGGGAGGACGGCCUUGGGGUGUGAAACAGCUUUCCCCUGUGACGAAGGGUGAGUGGGGGAAAUGGGGAAAAAAGCACCGGCUAAUUACGG
This 467-nucleotide ribosomal RNA is filed under the name uncultured bacterium. RNAcentral describes it as "partial 16S ribosomal RNA". It matches the Rfam family "Bacterial small subunit ribosomal RNA", at positions 28 to 506 of the family's 1533-position model. The record is from RNAcentral.